This 638-nucleotide ribosomal RNA is filed under the name uncultured bacterium. RNAcentral's name for it is "bacterial SSU rRNA". It matches the Rfam family "Bacterial small subunit ribosomal RNA", at positions 28 to 674 of the family's 1533-position model. The record is from RNAcentral.
AUUGAACGCUGGCGGUAUGCCUAACACAUGCAAGUCGAACGAGGUAGCAAUACCUAGUGGCGGACGGGUGAGGAAUACGUAGGGAUCUGCCCUUAAGUGGGGGAUAACCCGGGGAAACCCGGAUUAAUACCGCAUGAUCUCGCAAGAGCAAAGAGGGGGACCGCAAGGCCUCUCGCUUUUGGAGGAACCUACGUCGGAUUAGCUAGUUGGUGAGGUAAUGGCUCACCAAGGCGACGAUCCGUAACUGGUCUGAGAGGAUGAUCAGUCACACCGGAACUGAGACACGGUCCGGACUCCUACGGGAGGCAGCAGUGGGGAAUAUUGGACAAUGGGCGAAAGCCUGAUCCAGCAAUACCGCGUGUGUGAAGAAGGCCUUCGGGUUGUAAAGCACUUUAAGUUGGGAAGAAAAAGCUUCACCUAAUACGUGAAGCCUUGACGGUACCGACAGAAUAAGCACCGGCUAACUCUGUGCCAGCAGCCGCGGUAAUACAGAGGGUGCUAGCGUUAAUCGGAUUUACUGGGCGUAAAGCGUGCGUAGGUGGUUUGAUAAGUCGAUUGUGAAAGCCCCGGGCUUAACCUGGGAAUUGCGGUCGAUACUGUCAGACUCGAAAACGGUAGAGGGAGGUGGAACUCCAGGU